This 208-nucleotide unclassified non-coding RNA is filed under the name uncultured fungus. Its description in RNAcentral is "partial contains 18S rRNA, ITS1, 5.8S rRNA, ITS2 and 28S rRNA". Lineage: Eukaryota; Fungi. The record is from RNAcentral.
AAGGAUCAUUAUUGAAUUAUAAGCGAGGGUUGUCGCUGGCCUCGAAAGAGGCAUGUGCACGCCUGAGCUCUUAAAUCCACAACACACCUGUGAACCCACCGUAGGCCUUCGGGCUUAUGUAUCAUAUACUCUGAAUGUGUCAUAGAAUGUUCAUGUUGCCUUAAAACGCAAUCAAAUACAACUUUCAACAACGGAUCUCUUGGCUCUC